This 459-nucleotide ribosomal RNA is filed under the name uncultured bacterium. Its description in RNAcentral is "partial 16S ribosomal RNA". It matches the Rfam family "Bacterial small subunit ribosomal RNA", at positions 338 to 795 of the family's 1533-position model. The record is from RNAcentral.
CCUACGGGUGGCAGCAGUGAGGAAUAUUGGUCAAUGGUCGGGAGACUGAACCAGCGAAGCCGCGUGAGGGAGGAAGGUACAGAGUAUCGUAAACCUCUUUUGUCAGGGAACAAAGACUGGGACGCGUCCCCGGAUGAGUGUACCUGAAGAAAAAGCAUCGGCAAACCCCGUGCCUGCAGCCGCGGCAAUACGGGGGAUGCGAGCGUUAUCCGGAUUUGUGGGGUUGAAAGGGCGCGCGGGCGGUCUGUUAAGUCAGCGGUCAAACCCCGGGGCUCAACCCCGGCCCGCCGUUGAAACUGGCAGACUCGAGUUGGAGAGAGGUAUGCGGAAUGCGCGGUGUAGCAGUGAAAUGCGUAGAUAUCGCGCAGAACUCCGGUUGCGAAGGCGGCAUGCCGGCUCCACACUGACGCUGAGGCACGAAAGCGUGGGUAUCGAACAGGAUUAGAUACCCUAGUAGUC